CACGUAGUUAGCCGGGGCUUCUUAGUCAGGUACCGUCAUUUUUUUCUUCCCUGCUGAUAGAGCUUUACAUACCGAAAUACUUCUUCACUCACGCGGCGUCGCUGGAUCAGGGUUUCCCCCAUUGUCCAAUAUUCCCCACUGCUGCCUCCCGUAGGAGUUUGGGCCGUGUCUCAGUCCCAAUGUGGCCGUCCACCCUCCCAGGCCGGCUACUGAUCGUCGCCUUGGUGGGCCGUUACCUCACCAACCAGCUAAUCAGACGCGGGUCCAUCAUAUACCACCGUAGUUUUUCACACUGUCUCAUGCAAUACUGUGCGCUUAUGCGGUAUUAGCACCUAUUUCUAAGUGUUAUCCCCCUGUAUAUGGCAGGUUACCCACGCGUUACUCACCCGUCCGCCACUAAGUCAUCAACAUUUCCACUCUUAGCAAGCUAAUUGCUUCAAAAAUGAUGACUCCGUUCGACUUGCAUGUGUUAAGCACGCCGCCAGCGUUCAUCCUGAGCCAGG
This 503-nucleotide ribosomal RNA is filed under the name uncultured Lachnospiraceae bacterium. Its description in RNAcentral is "partial 16S ribosomal RNA". The record is from RNAcentral. Lineage: Bacteria; Bacillati; Bacillota; Clostridia; Lachnospirales; Lachnospiraceae.